GACGAACGCUGGCGGCGUGCCUAAUACAUGCAAGUAGAACGCUGAAGGAGGAGCUUGCUUCUCUGGAUGAGUUGCGAACGGGUGAGUAACGCGUAGGUAACCUGCCUGGUAGCGGGGGAUAACUAUUGGAAACGAUAGCUAAUACCGCAUAAGAGUAGAUGUUGCAUGACAUUUGCUUAAAAGGUGCAAUUGCAUCACUACCAGAUGGACCUGCGUUGUAUUAGCUAGUUGGUGGGGUAACGGCUCACCAAGGCGACGAUACAUAGCCGACCUGAGAGGGUGAUCGGCCACACUGGGACUGAGACACGGCCCAGACUCCUACGGGAGGCAGCAGUAGGGAAUCUUCGGCAAUGGACGGAAGUCUGACCGAGCAACGCCGCGUGAGUGAAGAAGGUUGUCGGAUCGUAAAGCUCUGUUGUAAGAGAAGAACGAGUGUGAGAGCGGAAAGUUCACACUGUGACGGUAUCUUACCAGAAAGGGACGGCUAACUACGUG
RNAcentral lists this ribosomal RNA (495 nucleotides) under uncultured bacterium. Its description in RNAcentral is "partial 16S ribosomal RNA". It matches the Rfam family "Bacterial small subunit ribosomal RNA", at positions 28 to 507 of the family's 1533-position model. The record is from RNAcentral.